Molecule: non-coding RNA, 117 nt
Organism: Danio rerio (zebrafish)
Lineage: Eukaryota; Metazoa; Chordata; Actinopteri; Cypriniformes; Danionidae
Source: Rfam
GAUAACAGCCAUAUUACCCUGCAGCCCAAGACCGGUUACUCCCUGAAGCUAUGCAGGGCUGAGCCUGGCCAGUACCUGGCUGGGAGACCACAUGGGAAAACUAGGUUGCUGUUAGAA